GCAUUUGGUAACUCAGUCAGUAGAGCAUGAGACUCUUAAUCUCACAGUCAUGAGUGCAACCCCCAUGUUGGGCA
Non-coding RNA from Podarcis lilfordi (Lilford's wall lizard), 74 nucleotides. NCBI's taxonomy places the organism in Eukaryota, Metazoa, Chordata, Lepidosauria, Squamata, Lacertidae. The record is from the annotation of a GenBank genome assembly.